GACAGAGGGUGCAAACGUUGUUCGGAAUUACUGGGCGUAAAGCGUGUGUAGGCGGUCUCAUAAGUCGGAUGUGAAAGCCCCGGGCUCAACCCGGGAAGUGCAUUCGAAACUGCGAGGCUAGAGUAUCGGAGAGGUUGGUGGAAUUCUCGGUGUAGAGGUGAAAUUCGUAGAUAUCGAGAGGAACACCGGUGGCGAAGGCGGCCAACUGGACGAAUACUGACGCUGAGACACGAAAGCGUGGGGAG
This 245-nucleotide ribosomal RNA is filed under the name uncultured bacterium. RNAcentral describes it as "partial 16S ribosomal RNA". It matches the Rfam family "Bacterial small subunit ribosomal RNA", at positions 524 to 768 of the family's 1533-position model. The record is from RNAcentral.